GACGAACGCUGGCGGCGUGCUUAACACAUGCAAGUCGAACGGAAAGGCCCUGCUUUUGUGGGGUGCUCGAGUGGCGAACGGGUGAGUAACACGUGAGUAACCUGCCCUUGACUUUGGGAUAACUUCAGGAAACUGGGGCUAAUACCGGAUAGGAGCUCCUGCUGCAUGGUGGGGGUUGGAAAGUUUCGGCGGUUGGGGAUGGACUCGCGGCUUAUCAGCUUGUUGGUGGGGUAGUGGCUUACCAAGGCUUUGACGGGUAGCCGGCCUGAGAGGGUGACCGGCCUCAUUGGUACUGAGAUACGGCCCAGUCUCCUACGUGAGGCAGCAGUGGGGAAUAUUGCACAAUGGGCGGAAGCCUGAUGCAGCAACGCCGCGUGCGGGAUGACGGCCUUCGGGUUGUAAACCGCUUUCGCCUGUGACGAAGCGUGAGUGACGGUAAUGGGUAAAGAAGCACCGGCUAACUACGUG
Molecule: ribosomal RNA, 468 nt
Filed under: uncultured bacterium
Lineage: Bacteria
Description: partial 16S ribosomal RNA
Rfam family: Bacterial small subunit ribosomal RNA
Source: RNAcentral